RNAcentral lists this ribosomal RNA (251 nucleotides) under uncultured bacterium. RNAcentral describes it as "partial 16S ribosomal RNA". It matches the Rfam family "Bacterial small subunit ribosomal RNA", at positions 524 to 776 of the family's 1533-position model. The record is from RNAcentral.
GACGGGGGGGGCAAGUGUUCUUCGGAAUGACUGGGCGUAAAGGGCACGUAGGCGGUGAAUCGGGUUGAAAGUGAAAGUCGCCAAAAAGUGGCGGAAUGCUCUCGAAACCAAUUCACUUGAGUGAGACAGAGGAGAGUGGAAUUUCGUGUGUAGGGGUGAAAUGCAUAGAUAUCAGGAGGAACACCAGCGGCGAAGGCGGCACUCUGGGCUGGAACUGACGCUGAGGAGCGAAAGCGUGGGGAGCGAACAGG